AACGUACGCUGGCGGCACGCCUAAUACAUGCAAGUCGAACGAGAAAGUUUCCUUCGGGAAAUUAGUAAAGUGGCGCAAGGGUGAGUAUCACGUGAAUAAUCUGCCCUCGAGAUCGGGAUAACAUGGUGAAAACUAUGCUAAUACCGGAUAAGACCACAUUUCAUAAGAAAUGUGGUAAAAGGAGUCUCAAUCUUCACUCGGGGAUGAGUUCGCGCAACAUUAGCUUGUUGGUGAGAUAAAAGCUCACCAAGGCUACGAUGUUUAGCCGGCCUGAGAGGGUGAACGGCCACACUGGAACUGAGACACGGUCCAAACUCCUACGGGAGGCAGCAGUGGGGAAUCUUGCACAAUGGGGGAAACCCUGAUGCAGCGAUGCCGCGUGAGUGAAG
This 389-nucleotide ribosomal RNA is filed under the name uncultured Nitrospina sp. RNAcentral's name for it is "bacterial SSU rRNA". It matches the Rfam family "Bacterial small subunit ribosomal RNA", at positions 29 to 410 of the family's 1533-position model. Lineage: Bacteria; Pseudomonadati; Nitrospinota; Nitrospinia; Nitrospinales; Nitrospinaceae. The record is from RNAcentral.